AAGAGAUAUGGUCGAGCGCACGAAUUGCGGGAUUGGUCAGCGACUCUUUCGCCCCUCACACCCAGCGUCUCCCUCCUUGCUAGGGUUAGGAAAAACGUGGCCGCCGCCGCCGCCGCCGCCCUCCCCCACUUCGCUCCAGGUCACCCCUCUCCAUGUCCCGUCCUGAGCUCCACCUCCUCCAGCCCCCGCCUGGGCUCUGCUCCUUCUUCCUUGUUGGCGCUCAACCGGACGAGGGUGGACUGCCACAAGCCGCAGCAGAGGGACACGUCGAUGAGGAUGGCAAGUCGAGCCAGAGGGGAUCGGGAGGCAUGAGGCGUGGAUACGGGUGGAGCGGCUGAAGAAGGGGUUAUGUGGGGCAACCGUCCCGUCUUCUUCCGUGGAGUGGUCACUGUCGUCGCCAAGCUACUCAACUCGUCGAACACGAUGUCGCCAUGUUCGGGAAGAAGGAUUAUCAGCAGUGGCGUCUCCUUUGCCGAAUGGGAAGGAUACAUGUCUGUGUCUAUUUUGAUGCUUCAGGCCUUCAGUAUUAGAGCUGACGCGGACAGUUGAUUCCUUGCAUCAAUGGGAAGGCUACAUUAGCCAAAGCUUGGGGGCAAGAUGAUCUCCAGCCCGGCCUGGCCACCGCUGGCAUGUCGGUGCCCUCAACAAGUUCCUGCACGGGGAUGUGAAGUCUGGUCCGAGGCCGCUUGGCAGGAUGGCGCUCACUCUAGUGCCAAGUAGAAUUCUUGAGCUCCUGCUUCACUUGCAAGAAGAAGCUGUAAGGAAACUGCAUUUACAUCUAUCACUAUGCUCAGUCUUUCAGAGUUUUAGUUUGAAGAUACUCCGAUGAUUACACCUGAAUGAAAACAGUUUAUCCAACAAAUAAUUGUGGCGUUGUUCGCCUGGGAACAUCCCAUAUACAUUUGGGGAGGAAAUCUUGUGAAAACUUGAAACAUUCAUCCAAUUAUUUCUUUGUACAGCAACUGAACAUAUUGCUUCGGUGAAAUCAUUCAUCCAAUUGCAUUAUUUGAUACAACAACUGUUUCUUUCUAUGCAUCUUCAGACAGAAAGGCAUACUGAUCUAAUUGUUGUGUGCCAUUGCAUCGGUGAGAAGGCAUUCUGCAGUGCCGACUGCCGGGACCAAGAGAUCAUGAUCGAAGAGGAAGCAAAGAACAAGAUCGCCAUCAGAUGCUUGUCCUGCUCAUCCCUGCCCACCGGUGGAUGGAACGGACAACAGCGGAGGACAUGGACAUGGCUUGUCCUGCUCGUCCUGAACAACGUCGAGAGUCAUAUGAGGCUUACUGGAAGCGGCAACAUUAGUGGCAUUCCGGUCCAAUGCAGCUGUUCAAGCUUUGCAUAUCCGACAUCAUCGAGCCCAAGGCAUUGUUAUGCUCUUUUUGUUGUAAUAUCUAAGCAGAAUGUACUACAAACUAGAUAAUCUGACGAAGAUGUGGCACAUGAGAUGUUCUCCAAUAGUGUUAACUUGUUGUCGAAAACUCUGAAAUGGUACUGCAUUUUGAACUGAGUGUCAAACCCAAUUGAGUCAAGUCUCCCUUGCAGUAUAGUAUUUUGUGGCGCUUGAUUAGGUUACACUUUGAAAAUCAUUUCCCUUCUGUAUGCAUCAUGUGAUCUCUUUUUGUUCCAGUAGGGACCAUUCAGUGGGAUUUGUAUUGUAAUAAGCUUUGCACCUGAAUUGAUAUUUUAUAGUUAACAGAGUUAAGUCGCAGGAAAUAUGUGUUUUUGGUAAUUGAGCUAGAUAUAUGUGUGUUUCUUUUUUGCUGUAAUGUGGUCGUUAUUUUAAUUUAGAAAAUAGAAGCAUGAAGUGUGAUUGUAAGGAUCUAAUAACAGAUGUUGUUUGCAUAACAAGAUGUGUACUGUACCUACUUACUAAUAGCAGAAUCUUAAUCCUUCGCAAGCAGUCGCCAUCAAUGUAGACUUGGCAUGCCCGGGUUUACUUUGUGAACAAUAUCAUUUAGGAACCGACUGCCAUUUGCUGAAUUGUUGAAAAGUGGAUAUGAUGGAAGAAGGUACCGGAAAUGUUCUUGUUGUUGUAAGCUAUUUGCAUGAAGCGCUAAAGUGCAAAAGAGAUUGCUUGGAGCAGACAUAGAGGGUUUGACGCUGCUGCUUCUUACCUCUGUAGAGAUCCUGGUAUGGUGCCUCGUAACAAUGAUACUGGAAAUGGUCAGACUCCACAACAAUUGCGCUUACCACGAACAAAGGAUGUUAUUGUAAAUGGAACCGUUGUAAAGGUCAAGUACUACCACACCUACAUGCUGCACCCGCCACCUCGUUCUUCUCACUGUUCUAUCUAUGACAACUGUGUGGAGCGUUUUGAUCAUCACUGUCCUUGGGUUGGUCAAUGCAUAGGACUGGUAACUAUAUUAAUGCCUAAUAGUCUACUCUGCCUCUACGUGUCUGGGUUCUGCUGGGUGUACAUAACUAAGAUCAAAGAUGCAGAGGAUUCAUCGAUUUGGAGGGCAAUGUUGAAGACACCUGCCGAGUGGUUCUGAUCAUCUACUAUUUUAUUUAUGUGUGGUUUUUUGGCGGUCUUUUUGUCUUUCAUCUCUACCUGAAGAGCACCAAUCUGGUCGCUUCCCUUUCCACCUUUCCUCUGUUUUAAAACUCUUGGUAUUUAAAUCAUUUUGUCGCAACUUCGUAAUUAUUCAAUCCUUCACCUCUGCAAACUACAUACGAGAACUUUAGGUAUCGGUGCGACCUACGGGCUAACCUAUAUAACAAGAUUGCUUAGAGCUAACAUAGAGGUUAAUUAAAUUAAUCUUUAGUUCUUCUCUUGUCAUGUUUUCAUUAGUAAACCUUAAGGUAAUUUCUCUUAGAAAAUCAUGUCUUCAUGGCCGGCAUGAUGAUGGCGACAUGACCCCCCGUGACGAUGACCCGAUCCGGCCGGACACCGUCUUCUUCGCCACGAGGAAAUGUUUUGCAUGCCUUCAAAGCUUAAUAAAAUAUUUUGCAUGUCUUUGCUUGCUACACUAAUAUGCAGGUUUUGUGGAAUGAUGAACAAGACCUCUUCUUUUCAAAAUAUAUGCUAGAGAGUACUCGUUGGAUUUAUAGAGAUGAAGUGUUUGUAAAAUUGCUUAAUAUCUUAUAUCUUGCUUGUGCAAGGCACCAGGAGAGAGAUCGUAUCAUAUUUCUUGUCAGCUGUGCUCUGGAUCUUCUCCUAUUCAUAUAAGUAACAGCACAUUCCUAUGAAGGAAUUCAUAUAGGCUUACAUUUCAUUGCAUCUCCUCUGUCAUUUUUAAUUGGUUAUAUGUUGUGUUGUUGUAGA
This is an RNA transcript of Triticum aestivum (bread wheat), 3262 nucleotides long. RefSeq lists it as uncharacterized. The transcript has 4 exons. The record is from RefSeq and is a predicted model, not a curated record. NCBI's taxonomy places the organism in Eukaryota, Viridiplantae, Streptophyta, Magnoliopsida, Poales, Poaceae.